UGAGGAAUAUUGGUCAAUGGACGCAAGUCUGAACCAGCCAAGUAGCGUGCAGGAUGACGGCCCUAUGGGUUGUAAACUGCUUUUAUAUGGGGAUAAAGUGGGGAACGUGUUCCCUUUUGCAGGUACCAUAUGAAUAAGGACCGGCUAAUUCCGUGCCAGCAGCCGCGGUAAUACGGAAGGUCCAGGCGUUAUCCGGAUUUAUUGGGUUUAAAGGGAGCGUAGGCUGUUUGUUUAGCGUGUUGUGAAAUGUAAGAGCUCAACUUUUAGAUUGCAGCGCGAACUGGCAGACUUGAGUGCGCACAACGUAGGCGGAAUUCAUGGUGUAGCGGUGAAAUGCUUAGAUAUCAUGACGAACUCCGAUUGCGAAGGCAGCUUACGGGAGCGCAACUGACGCUAAAGCUCGAAGGUGCGGGUAUCGAACAGG
Molecule: ribosomal RNA, 424 nt
Filed under: Verrucomicrobiota bacterium
Lineage: Bacteria; Pseudomonadati; Verrucomicrobiota
Description: Verrucomicrobia bacterium partial 16S ribosomal RNA
Rfam family: Bacterial small subunit ribosomal RNA
Source: RNAcentral